Molecule: transfer RNA, 81 nt
Filed under: Maridesulfovibrio gilichinskyi
Lineage: Bacteria; Pseudomonadati; Thermodesulfobacteriota; Desulfovibrionia; Desulfovibrionales; Desulfovibrionaceae
Description: Desulfovibrio sp. K3S tRNA_Leu_TAG
Rfam family: tRNA
About the family: Transfer RNA (tRNA) molecules are approximately 80 nucleotides in length. Their secondary structure includes four short double-helical elements and three loops (D, anti-codon, and T loops). Further hydrogen bonds mediate the characteristic L-shaped molecular structure. tRNAs have two regions of fundamental functional importance: the anti-codon, which is responsible for specific mRNA codon recognition, and the 3' end, to which the tRNAs corresponding amino acid is attached (by aminoacyl-tRNA synthetases). tRNAs cope with the degeneracy of the genetic code in two manners: having more than one tRNA (with a specific anti-codon) for a particular amino acid; and 'wobble' base-pairing, i.e. permitting non-standard base-pairing at the 3rd anti-codon position.
Source: RNAcentral
GCGAGAGUGGCGGAAUUGGUAGACGCACUGGAUUUAGGAUCCAGCGGCUAGUCCGUGAGAGUUCGAGUCUCUCCUUUCGCA